UUUUUUGAGAGAUAGGUAGCAUACUAUCCGAUUUGUUUAUUUCAUUUAGAAAUAAACAUAGUUGGAAAUGUGAAUCAACUAGAAUUUGAACUUGGAACCUCGGAUACCGACAACCAAAUUUUUUGCCACUUGCUCUAGAGAUGUGCACAGCCUCUUAUUAGUCAACAGUAGUGGACAUUUAGUAAUAAAUCGUACUCAACCACUCA
RNAcentral lists this long non-coding RNA (206 nucleotides) under Ananas comosus (pineapple). Its description in RNAcentral is "long non-coding RNA (ACOM_LNC006478)". The record is from RNAcentral. Lineage: Eukaryota; Viridiplantae; Streptophyta; Magnoliopsida; Poales; Bromeliaceae.